Molecule: ribosomal RNA, 116 nt
Filed under: Staphylococcus epidermidis
Lineage: Bacteria; Bacillati; Bacillota; Bacilli; Caryophanales; Staphylococcaceae
Description: partial 23S ribosomal RNA
Rfam family: Bacterial large subunit ribosomal RNA
Source: RNAcentral
UUUCCCAACUUCGGUUAUAAGAUCCCUCGAAGAUGACGAGGUUAAUAGGUUCGAGGUGGAAGCGUGGUGACACGUGGAGCUGACGAAUACUAAUCGAUCGAAGACUUAAUCAAUUU